This is a long non-coding RNA of Hippocampus comes (tiger tail seahorse), 358 nucleotides long. RefSeq lists it as uncharacterized. The transcript has 2 exons. NCBI's taxonomy places the organism in Eukaryota, Metazoa, Chordata, Actinopteri, Syngnathiformes, Syngnathidae. The record is from RefSeq and is a predicted model, not a curated record.
GCUGCUGCGACUGGACGCCACCUCCAGCGAAGAAGAGAAGAAGGUGGCCGAGUUGUGGCUGCUGGCCAUGCACAAGGCGGCCAAGCUGCUCUACGAGUCUCGGGAACACCAGUGAGUCCAAACCGGUUGCCCAAAGAACCUUCUUCCUCCUUUCUCGAAAGUGACCAGCAUCUCCAGCCACAAUUUGGUACUCAUCGUAUUUACCAUCUUUUCUACUUCCGCUUUUGGCCAUCUUGGCGUUUGCCAUCCAAAGCUCAGCGGGCGGGCGAAGACGUCACUUCCUGGACUGAAAGCCUGUUUUUAACGGGCAUUGCCCGAUAGCUGUGAAUGGGAUUGUGGCAAGUGUACUCUUGGAUGU